CUACGGGUUGCAGCAGUGGGGAAUUUUGCGCAAUGGGGGAAACCCUGACGCAGCAACGCCGCGUGAAGGAUGAAGGCCUUUGGGUCGUAAACUUCUGUCAGAGGGGAAGAAAUGCCCGCAAGGGAGCUGACGGUACCCUCAAAGGAAGCACCGGCUAACUCCGUGCCAGCAGCCGCGGUAAUACGGAGGGUGCAAGCGUUGUUCGGAAUUAUUGGGCGUAAAGAGCAUGUAGGCGGACUGUUAAGUCUGGUGUGAAAGCCCGGGGCUCAACCCCGGAAGUGCAUUGGAUACUGGCAGUCUUGAGUAUGGGAGAGGAAAGUGGAAUUCCGAGUGUAGGAGUGAAAUCCGUAGAUAUUCGGAGGAACACCAGUGGCGAAGGCGGCUUUCUGGACCAAUACUGACGCUGAGAUGCGAAAGCGUGGGGAGCAAACAGGAUUAGAUACCCCUGUAGUC
Molecule: ribosomal RNA, 453 nt
Filed under: uncultured bacterium
Lineage: Bacteria
Description: partial 16S ribosomal RNA
Rfam family: Bacterial small subunit ribosomal RNA
Source: RNAcentral